RNAcentral lists this ribosomal RNA (253 nucleotides) under uncultured bacterium. Its description in RNAcentral is "partial 16S ribosomal RNA". It matches the Rfam family "Bacterial small subunit ribosomal RNA", at positions 524 to 776 of the family's 1533-position model. The record is from RNAcentral.
UACGGAGGGUGCAAGCGUUAUCCGGAUUCACUGGGUUUAAAGGGUGCGUAGGCGGGUUGGUAAGUCCGUGGUGAAAUCCCCAAGCUUAACUUGGGAACUGCCGUGGAUACUAUCAAUCUUGAAUAUCGUGGAGGUAAGCGGAAUAUGUCAUUGUAGCGGUGAAAUGCUUAGAUAUGACAUAGAACACAAUUGCGUAGGCAGCUUACUACACGAUCAUUGACGCUGAGGCACGAAAGCGUGGGGAGCAAACAGG